UGCCUGUCACAAGCUCUAACUUCAAAGGUAACAAAACUUCAUGACCAACAUGCAUGUGCUGUUUGAGCCUGGUGUUAAGCAGAAUUAGCUAAUUGUAGUAUUAGACGGUGUCGCUAGAAGAAGCGGCACUGAAUAGUGCUGCAGUACCAUCGCUGAGUUUUGCCUCAAGCAUCAUCUGUUAGAUCAUGUUAAUAGGAUCACACUUCUUUCCCAUCCCUGGUGUCAGAGUCCAGAAUGAACUCACUGUAAAUCUCUCAGCUACAGUGACUGUAUUUCACCCUGUUGAUGCCACUUUUCCAAGCAAUGCCUCAAGCUUCAAUCUUCCAGCUGUCUGAAGCUCCUGUUGAUUGUUAGAAAUUUAUUAUCAUUACAAUUUCACACUUAGAGCCAAACACCAGGUAGCAAAUGACACUACUAGCUGCGCUGCUAACUAAGAUCUGAAUCUAACUUAAGCUACACUCAGCAGAAAAUACUUGGCAAAGCAUUUUGUUCAUUCGAAGCUGUUUUUGGAUAAAAGUUGAUUGGGUUUUAUUUGCAAGCACAUAAAGAAUGUCUACUCUGCUUAUUUUGCUCUAUAGAUAUUGGGGUAGGGCCCUCACAAGCGCUCUGCUCUUGGAGCAUUGGAGUUUGAAAGUUGAUUAAUUCAGUGUCUGGCUUUCCUCUCUCCGUCUGGCCAACAAUAAAGCUGUCUCAAGCCCCCUACAAGCCCGGAGCACUUGCAGUGUUUGUCUUUUGCAGUUGGUCUCUGGUUAUGUGUGUUUUUGACUGUGCGUUGUUGGUGUUUUAGUGGCAUGUUUACUGCAGUAUGUUUCUCCCAGUGGGGAUCAUUCAGGCCACUGCAGAUCGUCUGCCCUUGUCAGACAUUGAACUACGGGAUACAAAACAUUUCAGCCAAUUAAGCGCUUCGAACUUUUGGUCAAUAUCUAGUUAGGGCACUUUGCUGUCCAGCGUUGCUGUGUACCUGAGAAAAAAUGAGAGUCAGAAACACUUGGUUAGAUGGGUUUGGUCAGGAGGAUCUCAACUAUAAUUUGUUAGAUUUCAACUGCAUUAAAUGCAGGAAAUUGGAAAUGACAGUUUGAAACAAGGCUUUGUUGCCAAACAUCAGUAACUGACUGAAGAAGUUUAUAUUUUUUCCAGCUGGAUGGCCAAGAAAUAAAAAAAACACUCCAGAAUCUCCCCAGCAACAUUUGAGAGCAGUCCUUGAUAAAGCUGGAUGUCAAACAAGCAAAUUUAGGCAUGAUUAUCUUGUAUACGAUUACUUUUGGUGCCCUGAUGGUGCUAAAAAAUGAAAAACAUCAUGAUGCAAAAAGAAUAAUUUCCCCUUGAUGCCAUGAGCAGUGACACACAAGUGAGAUAUAUCUGACUCAGUUACAGGACUCACAUUUGAUCCAGCACUGCUCUCACUGUUAGAGACAAAGAAAAGAGGUAGAAAACGCUGACUCACCCGUGAGCUCCGAGUAUCAUGUACCUUCCAAACUUUCGCAGUGUUGCAGUGACCUUGAGCAGCGCAGAAAGCGAGGGAGCCAAUGAGUGACUGUGGAAAAUGAGGAGCGCGAGAUCCCUCCAACCUGCUUCCCGACAGAUAAUCUGUCAACCCCCCACUGGUCCCCAGACUCAUGGUACAUGCGGCAAACACACACAUAUGCCAGGUAGAGUACACACUGUCUCUCUCUCUUUCUCUCUCUCACACACACACACAUGCACCUCUCACCAGACACCUUCUCCUGCUGCACAGCAGUGUUUGACUGAGAGGUAGUUUGAAGGGAACGCUCCUCUUCUCCCCCUCUCCAAAUCCAUCGAUCACACCAAACGCU
Xyrichtys novacula (pearly razorfish) is the source of this 1814-nucleotide non-coding RNA. NCBI's taxonomy places the organism in Eukaryota, Metazoa, Chordata, Actinopteri, Labriformes, Labridae. The record is from the annotation of a GenBank genome assembly.